This 460-nucleotide ribosomal RNA is filed under the name uncultured bacterium. Its description in RNAcentral is "partial 16S ribosomal RNA". It matches the Rfam family "Bacterial small subunit ribosomal RNA", at positions 338 to 795 of the family's 1533-position model. The record is from RNAcentral.
CCUACGGGUGACAGCAGUGAGGAAUAUUGGUCAAUGGACGAGAGUCUGAACCAGCCAAGUAGCGUGAAGGAUGACUGCCCUAUGGGUUGUAAACUUCUUUUAUAUGGGAAUAAAAUGUUCCACGUGUGGGAUUUUGUAUGUACCAUAUGAAUAAGGAUCGGCUAACUCCGUGCCAGCAGCCGCGGUAAUACGGAGGAUCCGAGCGUUAUCCGGAUUUAUUGGGUUUAAGGGGAGCGUAGGUGGAUUGUUAAGUCAGUUGUGAAAGUUUGCGACUCAACCGUAAAAUUGCAGUUGAAACUGGCAGUCGUGAGUACAGUAGAGGUGGGCGGAAUUCGUGGUGUAGCGGUGAAAUGCUUAGAUAUCACGAAGAACUCCGAUUGCGAAGGCAGCUCACUGGACUGCAACUGACACUGAGGCUCGAAAGUGUGGGUAUCAAACAGGAUUAGAUACCUUUGUAGUC